This 104-nucleotide non-coding RNA is filed under the name Ditylum brightwellii. Lineage: Eukaryota; Bacillariophyta; Thalassiosirophyceae; Lithodesmiales; Lithodesmiaceae. The record is from RNAcentral.
CUUAUUUUUUCUUUUUUUUCUUGGAUUUCUUUUUCUUAUUUUUUGAUCCUUUUUUUGAAGUUGGUGAUCGAUAAAGAGCUUUAUACAAAUCACUUUCCAGGUUU